GGAGGAGUGCCAGAGUUGGCCGAUCGGGACUGUCUUGAAAACAGUUAGGUGCCGUAAGGUGCCUCAGAGGUUCGAAUCCUCUCUCCUCCG
Molecule: transfer RNA, 90 nt
Filed under: Candidatus Omnitrophota bacterium
Lineage: Bacteria; Pseudomonadati; Candidatus Omnitrophota
Description: tRNA-Ser
Rfam family: tRNA
About the family: Transfer RNA (tRNA) molecules are approximately 80 nucleotides in length. Their secondary structure includes four short double-helical elements and three loops (D, anti-codon, and T loops).
Source: RNAcentral